RNAcentral lists this unclassified non-coding RNA (215 nucleotides) under Hevea brasiliensis (rubber tree). The record is from RNAcentral. Lineage: Eukaryota; Viridiplantae; Streptophyta; Magnoliopsida; Malpighiales; Euphorbiaceae.
GGUAUAUCCAACCUGCCCCUGGUGGGACAGAUAUGGGUAAUGGAAAAGCCGCCUCAUGCUCAUCCCUAGCACUAGCCAUUUGAUCGUUCCUCCUAGAAGAAGCACAUAAGAACAAUAUGUUUAUUCAAAAGGAAUCUUCCUUACUAGUCUAAGCAGUAGUCAAUAAGAUCAAUUAUGCAGAAUUAACUCAUUUGACAAAUUUCUCUGCAGUGACU